This 500-nucleotide ribosomal RNA is filed under the name uncultured bacterium. RNAcentral's name for it is "partial 16S ribosomal RNA". It matches the Rfam family "Bacterial small subunit ribosomal RNA", at positions 30 to 523 of the family's 1533-position model. The record is from RNAcentral.
AUUGAACGCUGGCGGAAUGCUUUACACAUGCAAGUCGAACGGCAGCACGGGGGUAACCCUGGUGGCGAGUGGCGAACGGGUGAGUAAUAUAUCGGAACGUGCCCAAUCGUGGGGGAUAACGUAGCGAAAGCUACGCUAAUACCGCAUACGAUCUACGGAUGAAAGCGGGGGAUCGCAAGACCUCGCGCGAAUGGAGCGGCCGAUGGCAGAUUAGGUAGUUGGUGGGGUAAAGGCUCACCAAGCCAACGAUCUGUAGCUGGUCUGAGAGGACGACCAGCCACACUGGGACUGAGACACGGCCCAGACUCCUACAGGAGGCAGCAGUGGGGAAUUUUGGACAAUGGGCGCAAGCCUGAUCCAGCCAUUCCGCGUGCAGGAUGAAGGCCUUCGGGUUGUAAACUGCUUUUGUACGGAACGAAACGGCCCUUUCUAAUACAGAGGGCUAAUGACGGUACCGUAAGAAUAAGCACGGGCUAACUACGUGCCAGCAGCCGCGGUAA